RNAcentral lists this transfer RNA (84 nucleotides) under Candidatus Poseidoniaceae archaeon. RNAcentral's name for it is "tRNA-Leu". It matches the Rfam family "tRNA". From Rfam's summary of the family: Transfer RNA (tRNA) molecules are approximately 80 nucleotides in length. Their secondary structure includes four short double-helical elements and three loops (D, anti-codon, and T loops). Lineage: Archaea; Methanobacteriati; Thermoplasmatota; Candidatus Poseidoniia; Candidatus Poseidoniales; Candidatus Poseidoniaceae. The record is from RNAcentral.
GCAGGAGUUGCCCAGCUUGGUCAAAGGCGCUGGGUUUAGGUCCCAGUACAUAUUGUUUCGUAGGUUCAAAUCCUACCUCCUGCA